CAGACAAGCUCGAAAUGCACCAGCAUACUUCAGAAACAUUAAUGGAACAAAACUCAACCAAAAGUUAAAUAAAAUGGGUUCAAAUAAGCUUGUGAUUUAAUCCAAUUAAACCAGAUAACCCUCACAAACAGAAGCAAACCACCAAACUUGACUAGACCUUACUUUGACUUGAAAUACACCAAAAACACUUCUGAAAUUGUUAAUAGGUCAACUGAAGAGUGAAAUCAGUUUAGAACUCCUGAUGAAACAGUUUGAUUUUUUGAUUUUUUGUAGAUUUCUAUUGUUUUUGUGUUUUUGAGUAUGAAGAAGACUAAAAUCUAAAGGUAUUGCAUGAACUGAAAUUUUUAAAUCUAGAGAAUUAGGAGUAUUUUUAGGGAAUUUUCUGGCUGAGGACGAAUGGAAGGAAGAAGCCCCUUUUACAAGCAAUGAGGGACUCAAUUUAUAGGUCAUUCUAGGGUAAAGGAUCAGAUUUUGGUUUUCUAUUUUAGUCCCUGCCCCUUUUUCACUUUAAACCUUAAUUGUUCCUCAAGUUACUCCCUAAGUUUUACAGAAAUCUACACUAAAGCCUUAUUCUGGGAACCCAUUUUUCACUUUAAACCUUAAUUUUCUAACUUGUUCCUUAAGUUACUCCCUACGUUUUACUGAAAUCUAGACUAAAGUCCUAUUCUAUGAGCUUCUAGGAUGCUCUUUUAGCCCUAAAAUACCCAUGCUACCCAUUAACCUAUAUUGCAAUUACCAAUUCUCAAAAUAUUACCCUUUUUCAUACCCAAAUUACCCUUUAAACAGUCUGAACAUUACAGACGUGAAUUAACUGCACCCAAUCCCUCACCCCAGUUAUGAUUUAACUAAAGUUAACUAAAAUCAGCCAUACCCGAUCAAUCUAACCUAGUAAUGAACUAAUUAACACUAACAAUGACUGAAAAUAAACUAAUACUUAACUGAAACUAAUCCAAAACGAGUUCCAAAUUUAACUUCAAACAAACAAGAUAAAAUGAAAAUCUAAUUACACUGAUGACUAAUUAGCACUUAACAAUUGAGCGUUCCAGCUAUCAACAAUCAAAAUUGAACCAGAAUUUAAAACAAAGAGAUGAAAAUCAGUCUAAAAUGAAUUAAACCUAAACACGGAUAACAAAUCAAAGAAGAAGAAUUGAUGCUAAAAUUCGACUGAAAAACUACAACUAUGCUUAAUUGAAUAGAAUUCGGUCAAGUCCCCAAAUAAGUAUCAUAUGAACCAAACAAGGUAAAAUCCCAUUAAACUAACGGCUAAUUGACCAAUUGAUGCUGAGCAUUCAAACUUAGCAAAAGAAUCAAAAUAAGGUCAGAAUUUGGCCAAAGAAGUGAAGAUUAACCCAAAAUUAACCAAAACAUUUACGACCAUUAUGGCGACUUAGUUAUGAAUUAAGAAUGAUGCUUGAACGAACAGACCUAACACUGAAUCAAAAAAGAAAACUAAAGAAAAUGGAGAGAAGAAAACACUUACUGAAUUUUGGCCUUCAUGCACAUCUUUGAAACUAACUUAAAUUUAGUAUGAUACGUCCAUUUUCCUCCUAUAAUACUAGCCUGAGUUAGCUCUACCAACGAAACUAACUUAAAGUUAGUAUGAUAUGUCCAUUUUACUCGAAAUAAACCUAUAAUACUAGCCUGAGUUAGCUCAACAUUGACAAAUCACGGAGUGGCUAGGCACAACGAUUCCUAGAUUUGAAAUUGGGGGUGGCUUGGUAAGAUUCAAGAAUUUCUGGGUGGGAUUAGUAAUGAGGGAGGGACGGGGAGUAUAUGGUAUGCAUUUGGAUUAAUUUGGGCCAACUUGUGACUUGGCCGGAAGAUCAAAAUUGAAGAUUCGAAGACGCGGACUACGAUUCAAAGAUUUUCAAGCAUGGAUUCAUGACGAGGGAGAUGAGGGGAAGCUGUGGUGUCAUUUUUGGAGUUAUUGGCAUCGUCGCCGCCACCGGCGGCCUUGGGAUUUAGUGGCGGCGCAACUAGGGUUUGUGAGGUUCUCUGAGAGAUGGGGGGACGAAGGAGAU
Molecule: long non-coding RNA, 2021 nt
Filed under: Nicotiana benthamiana
Lineage: Eukaryota; Viridiplantae; Streptophyta; Magnoliopsida; Solanales; Solanaceae
Description: long non-coding RNA (NBEN_LNC034659)
Source: RNAcentral